AGCUAGUGUGGUACAGUGGUUUGAGUGUUGGACUUUACUCUGAAGACCAGGGUUCAAAUCCCUACUUUGCUA
Molecule: non-coding RNA, 72 nt
Organism: Phrynosoma platyrhinos (Desert horned lizard)
Lineage: Eukaryota; Metazoa; Chordata; Lepidosauria; Squamata; Phrynosomatidae
Source: the annotation of a GenBank genome assembly